This is a non-coding RNA of Peziza echinospora, 112 nucleotides long. The record is from the annotation of a GenBank genome assembly. NCBI's taxonomy places the organism in Eukaryota, Fungi, Ascomycota, Pezizomycetes, Pezizales, Pezizaceae.
UCUCCUGUGACGCAGUGGUUAGCGUGUCGUUCUUAUACUGUGACAUUACAUGUCAUCAGCAUGACCUUGUUAAGGGAUGCGAAGGUCGCCGGUUCGACCCCGGCCAGGAGAA